RNAcentral lists this transfer RNA (66 nucleotides) under Cerambycidae sp. 6 KM-2017. Its description in RNAcentral is "tRNA-Tyr". The record is from RNAcentral. Lineage: Eukaryota; Metazoa; Arthropoda; Insecta; Coleoptera; Cerambycidae.
GGUGAAAUGGCUGAGGAUAGGCAGUAAACUGUAAAUUUACUAACGAAAUGAUUAUUUCUUUCACCA